CGUGGGUGGUGGCCUGGUUCUGCAUGCGCGCCGCGCUCGGGCUGCCGCUGCAUCUGCACGGCGGCGGCCGUCAGGUGCGCGACCUGGUGCACGUGG
RNAcentral lists this transfer RNA (96 nucleotides) under Microtetraspora sp. NBRC 13810. RNAcentral describes it as "tRNA-Pro". The record is from RNAcentral. Lineage: Bacteria; Bacillati; Actinomycetota; Actinomycetes; Streptosporangiales; Streptosporangiaceae.